CCUACGGGUGGCAGCAGUGAGGAAUAUUGGUCAAUGGGCGCGAGCCUGAACCAGCCAAGUAGCGUGAAGGAUGACUGCCCUACGGGUUGUAAACUUCUUUUAUAAAGGAAUAAAGUGAGGCACGUGUGCCUUUUUGUAUGUACUUUAUGAAUAAGGAUCGGCUAACUCCGUGCCAGCAGCCGCGGUAAUACGGAGGAUACGAGCGUUAUCCGGAUUUAUUGGGUUUAAAGGGUGCGUAGAUGGGUUGUUAAGUCAGUUGUGAAAUUUUGGGGGUUAAACGUAAAAGUGCAAUUGAUACUGGCAGUCUUGAGUACAGUUGAGGUAGGCGGAAUGCGCGGUGUAGCGGUGAAAUGCAUAGAUAUCACGAAGAACUCCGAUUGCGAAGGCAGCUUACUAAACUGCCACUGACAUUGAUGCACGAAAGUGUGGGGAUCAAACAGGAUUAGAUACCCUUGUAGUC
RNAcentral lists this ribosomal RNA (460 nucleotides) under uncultured bacterium. Its description in RNAcentral is "partial 16S ribosomal RNA". It matches the Rfam family "Bacterial small subunit ribosomal RNA", at positions 338 to 795 of the family's 1533-position model. The record is from RNAcentral.